GCCAGCAUAUCCCUUGCUCGGGAGCAGAUCUCUAGAUGUUAAUCCUUACAUCUCUGAAAAUGAGCUUGAAACUUCUGUUAAACAUGAAGUUGGUGUCACGUAUAAUUCUGGAAACAUGCAAUGUAAUCUCUUGGUUCCAGCCAUAAAUAAUAUGGGAAAAGAGGACUGCUUGUUUUCAAAUCCUGCAAAGUUUGAUCUUGAUUUUUAUGCUUGUUCUAAAGAGGAUUUGGGCUGUAUAGGGGGACUUGAUCCGUG
Molecule: unclassified non-coding RNA, 255 nt
Filed under: Hevea brasiliensis (rubber tree)
Lineage: Eukaryota; Viridiplantae; Streptophyta; Magnoliopsida; Malpighiales; Euphorbiaceae
Source: RNAcentral